UGCUCAUAAUCAUACUAAUAAAUUCAUCUUUGCACUACGGACAAAGAUUUUCAUUAACAAUUCAUCUUUGCACUACAUGCCAAAGACAUACAACUGUAUUUUAGAAGUCAAGUAGAGCAUGAUAUCUACUCACUUCUACGAAUUAAAAGUGUAUAAUAAAUAUUUUAUCGCUGAGACUCGGCUUAAUAAAUAAUCCACAUCAUCGAAUCACCCCUGCACUACGGCCAAGGAUAUUCGUUAGUAUCACAUCUAUGAAUUUAUAUUUCAUCGCUGAGACUCAGCUCGAUAAUCAAUCCAUAUCACUGAAUUAUCCAUGCACUACGGCUAAGGAUAUUCAUUAUUAUCACGACCACGAAUUAUCCAUGCACUACAGGCCAAAGAUAAUCGUGUUUUCAUCAAUGGUCCUGAUCAUGCCAUAAAACGAUUCAUCUUUACACCCUUGGCCGAAGAGAAUCCAUAGCCAUAAUCAUACCAAAAAUUGUCUAUCAAUGCACUACGGGCCAAUGAGGAUUUUUUUUCCACAUCAUAUUUAAUAUUACGGUCAUGAUUAUACCAAAUAAUUCCUGGUCAUAAUCAUACGAAGUCCAUCUAUGCACUAUAGGCCACAGAUGACUUUCAACAUAAUAUAAACAUGAGGAUGAUGACAAUGAUAUAAGAAUUCAAUAAAACAAGUUCAAG
RNAcentral lists this long non-coding RNA (678 nucleotides) under Panax ginseng (ginseng). RNAcentral describes it as "long non-coding RNA (PGIN_LNC012236)". The record is from RNAcentral. Lineage: Eukaryota; Viridiplantae; Streptophyta; Magnoliopsida; Apiales; Araliaceae.